Molecule: transfer RNA, 72 nt
Filed under: Ficedula owstoni
Lineage: Eukaryota; Metazoa; Chordata; Aves; Passeriformes; Muscicapidae
Description: Ficedula narcissina owstoni tRNA-Ile
Source: RNAcentral
GGAAAUGUGCCUGAGGACCAAGGACCACUAUGAUAAAGUGGACACAGAGGUAUACCAACCCUCUCAUUUCCU